Molecule: unclassified non-coding RNA, 230 nt
Filed under: Hevea brasiliensis (rubber tree)
Lineage: Eukaryota; Viridiplantae; Streptophyta; Magnoliopsida; Malpighiales; Euphorbiaceae
Source: RNAcentral
GUCGAUGUCAGCUGAUUUGUCUCUUUCCAUUGUUGGUCUUAAGUUUGACGCCCCUGGAGCUUUAACCCGAUGGAUCCGGUAUCCGGAUCUGCUUCCACACCAACAAGCUCACUCAUGUUAUUGUGAGCCUACAAGCAAUAGAUGUAGCCUAGCAACAACUCACAUCAGCUUGCCACUUUAAAGCCACAUCACUUGCCAUCACUGCCACACCAUCAAAAUUUUAAGAGUUU